Molecule: ribosomal RNA, 253 nt
Filed under: uncultured bacterium
Lineage: Bacteria
Description: partial 16S ribosomal RNA
Rfam family: Bacterial small subunit ribosomal RNA
Source: RNAcentral
UACGGGGGGAGCAAGCGUUGUUCGGAUUUACUGGGCGUAAAGCGUGCGCAGGCGGCUUUGCAAGACAGAUGUGAAAUCCCCGGGCUCAACCUGGGAACUGCAUUUGUGACUGCAUGGCUGGAGUGCGGCAGAGGGGGAUGGAAUUCCGCGUGUAGCAGUGAAAUGCGUAGAUAUGCGGAGGAACACCGAUGGCGAAGGCAAUCCCCUGGGCCUGCACUGACGCUCAUGCACGAAAGCGUGGGGAGCAAACAGG